GGAAUAUUGGUCAAUGGGCGCAAGCCUGAACCAGCCAAGUAGCGUGCAGGAUGACUGCCCUAUGGGUUGUAAACUGCUUUUAUACGGGGAUAAAGUCAGGGUCGUGACCCUGUUUGCAGGUACCGUAUGAAUAAGGACCGGCUAAUUCCGUGCCAGCAGCCGCGGUAAUACGGAAGGUCCAGGCGUUAUCCGGAUUUAUUGGGUUUAAAGGGAGCGUAGGCCGGAGAUUAAGUGUGUUGUGAAAUGUAGAUGCUCAACAUCUGCACUGCAGCGCAUACUGGUUUCCUUGAGUACACACAACGUUGGCGGAAUUCGUCGUGUAGCGGUGAAAUGCUUAGAUAUGACGAAGAACUCCGAUUGCGAAGGCAGGCUUCCAGUCCUUAACUGACGCUAAAGCUCGAAAGUGCGGGUAUCGAACA
RNAcentral lists this ribosomal RNA (419 nucleotides) under uncultured Prevotella sp. RNAcentral describes it as "bacterial SSU rRNA". It matches the Rfam family "Bacterial small subunit ribosomal RNA", at positions 358 to 774 of the family's 1533-position model. Lineage: Bacteria; Pseudomonadati; Bacteroidota; Bacteroidia; Bacteroidales; Prevotellaceae. The record is from RNAcentral.